RNAcentral lists this unclassified non-coding RNA (451 nucleotides) under Hevea brasiliensis (rubber tree). The record is from RNAcentral. Lineage: Eukaryota; Viridiplantae; Streptophyta; Magnoliopsida; Malpighiales; Euphorbiaceae.
UAAUGUCAUCAAUGAGAGCCACAACUGAAGCAGAAGCAUGGACCAUCCGAAGAUUCUUGGAGGAGUGCAUGUACAGUGUAUAGCGCUAGUUAUAGACGAGAGUGAAUAGGAAUCCAAAGUUCAUGUUGGUGUUUGGACCGCAUUUGCAAUGAAUUGGGUAGGUGAAGAGAAGAAAAUAGUCAGCGGUGUGUAGUCUCGACGUUUCAGAUGAUACCAAGGCUUUGUAGGCCACGCCUCUGUUCCUGAACAGAAGGCCCAAACAAGAAUCAAUAAAACUUUCAGAUGAAUUUAUUGAGGAUUAACAAGUUUUUCACUGCCAUUUUUUGUGGGCCAUGUGGUGGGGUUUGACUGUGAAUGCUAUUGUCUAAUGUUUGUGUCUUGUUACUAGGGCUUUAAUUAUUCUCCUAAUUAUUUUAUUAGUGAGGAUAAUGACUACUUUGUAUUUUUCUUG